CCAGACUCCUACGGGAGGCAGCAGUGGGGAAUAUUGCACAAUGGGGGAAACCCUGAUGCAGCAACGCCGCGUGAGUGAAGAAGCGUUUCGGCGCGUAAAGCUCUGUCAGCGGGGAAGAAAGAAGACGGUACCCGACCAAGAAGCACCGGCUAACUCCGUGCCAGCAGCCGCGGUAAUACGGAGGGUGCAAGCGUUGUCCGGAAUCAUUGGGCGUAAAGAGUUCGUAGGCGGUAUGUUAAGUCUGGUGUUAAAUGCAGAAGCUCAACUUCUGUUCGGCACUGGAUACUGGCAAACUAGAAUGCGGUAGAGGUAAAGGGAAUUCCUGGUGUAGCGGUGAAAUGCUUAGAUAUCGGGAGGAACAUCGGUGGCGUAAGCGCUUUACUGGGCCGUAAUUGACGCUGAGGAACGAAAGCCAGGGUAGCAAAUGGGAUUAGAUACCCUAGUAG
RNAcentral lists this ribosomal RNA (446 nucleotides) under uncultured bacterium. RNAcentral describes it as "bacterial SSU rRNA". It matches the Rfam family "Bacterial small subunit ribosomal RNA", at positions 331 to 793 of the family's 1533-position model. The record is from RNAcentral.